RNAcentral lists this unclassified non-coding RNA (153 nucleotides) under soil metagenome. RNAcentral's name for it is "partial internal transcribed spacer 1". The record is from RNAcentral.
UCGUGGAGCUUCGGCUCCUUCGAGGGAGAAACCCUUGCCUUUUCGAGCCCCUGUUUGUUUCCUCGGCCAGGCCCCGCCUGCCAACGGGGGACCAUUUAAAACUCUUGCAAUCAACCUGAACAAAAAUCGUCUGGAACAAAAAAAACUAAAUCA